UACGAACGCUGGCGGCGUGCUUAACACAUGCAAGUCGAACGAAAAGGCCCUGCUUUUGUGGGGUGCUCGAGUGGCGAACGGGUGAGUAACACGUGAGUAACAUGCCCUUGACUUUGGGAUAACUUCAGGAAACUGGGGCUCAUACCGGAUAGGAGCUCCUGCUGCAUGGUGGGGGUUGGAAAGUUUCGGCGGUUGGGGAUGGACUCGCGGCUUAUCAGCUUGUUGGUGGGGUAGUGGCUUACCAAGGCUUUGACGGGUAGCCGGCCUGAGAGGGUGACCGGCCACAUUGGGACUGAGAUACGGCCCAGACUCCUACGGGAGGCAGCAGUGGGGAAUAUUGCACAAUGGGCGGAAGCCUGAUGCAGCAACGCCGCGUGCGGGAUGACGGCCUUCGGGUUGUAAACCGCUUUCGCCUGUGACGAAGCGUGAGUGACGGUAAUGGGUAAAGAAGCACCGGCUAACUACGUG
RNAcentral lists this ribosomal RNA (468 nucleotides) under uncultured bacterium. RNAcentral's name for it is "partial 16S ribosomal RNA". It matches the Rfam family "Bacterial small subunit ribosomal RNA", at positions 29 to 507 of the family's 1533-position model. The record is from RNAcentral.